UACGGAUGCCACCAGCGAUCCGCCUGAGUUCCUUAAAUGACUCGGCGGGCAGCUUCCGGGAAACCAAAGUUUUUCGGUUCCGGGGGAAGUAUGGUUGCAAAGCUGAAACUUAAAGGAAUUGACGGAAGGGCACCACCAGGAGUGGAGCCUGCGGCUUAAUUUGACUCAACACGGGAAAACUUACCCGGCCCGGACACUGGCAGGAUUGACAGAUUGAGAGCUCUUUCUUGAUUCAGUGGGUGGUGGUGCAUGGCCGUUCUUAGUUGGUGGAGCGAUUUGUCUGGUUAAUUCCGAUAACGAACGAGACUCUAGCCUACUAAAUAGGCCACCGGCUUACUGACGUCGGUGGGACUUCUUAGAGGGACAGGCGGCGAUUCAGCCGCACGAAACAGAGCAAUAACAGGUCUGUGAUGCCCUUAGAUGUCCGGGGCCGCACGCGCGCUACACUGAAGUGAUCAGCGUGCAUUACAAACCUGCUCCGUCAGGAGUGGGGAACCCAAUGAACCUUCUUCGUGAUUGGGAUAGGGGAUUGUAAUUAUUCCCCUUGAACGAGGAAUUCCCAGUAAGCGCGAGUCAUAAGCUCGCGUUGAUUACGUCCCUGCCCUUUGUACACACCGCCCGUCGCUACUACCGAUUGAAUGAUUUAGUGAGGUCUUCGGACUGGCCGGCGCAGCUGUCUUCGGGCGGCCGCGCUGUGUUUGGAAAGAUGCCCAAACUUGAUCAUUUAGAGGAAGUAAAAGUCGUAACAAGGUUUCCGUAGUGAACCUGCGGAAGGAUC
RNAcentral lists this ribosomal RNA (778 nucleotides) under uncultured eukaryote. RNAcentral's name for it is "SSU rRNA". It matches the Rfam family "Eukaryotic small subunit ribosomal RNA", at positions 1031 to 1827 of the family's 1831-position model. The record is from RNAcentral.